UACGAAGGGGGCUAGCGUUGCUCGGAAUCACUGGGCGUAAAGGGUGCGUAGGCGGGUCUUUAAGUCAGGGGUGAAAUCCUGGAGCUCAACUCCAGAACUGCCUUCGAUACUGAGAGUCUCGAGUCCGGGAGAGGUGAGUGGAACUGCGAGUGUAGAGGUGAAAUUCGUAGAUAUUCGCAAGAACACCAGUGGCGAAGGCGGCUCACUGGCCCGGUACUGACGCUGAGGUGCGAAAGCGUGGGGAGCAAACAGGG
This 254-nucleotide ribosomal RNA is filed under the name uncultured bacterium. RNAcentral's name for it is "partial 16S ribosomal RNA". It matches the Rfam family "Bacterial small subunit ribosomal RNA", at positions 524 to 777 of the family's 1533-position model. The record is from RNAcentral.